Molecule: ribosomal RNA, 465 nt
Filed under: uncultured bacterium
Lineage: Bacteria
Description: partial 16S ribosomal RNA
Rfam family: Bacterial small subunit ribosomal RNA
Source: RNAcentral
CCUACGGGAGGCAGCAGUAGGGAAUCUUCCACAAUGGGCGAAAGCCUGAUGGAGCAACGCCGCGUGGGUGAAGAAGGUCUUCGGAUCGUAAAACCCUGUUGUUAGAGAAGAAAGUGCGUGAGAGUAACUGUUCACGUUUCGACGGUAUCUAACCAGAAAGCCAUGGCUAACUACGUGCCAGCAGCCGAGGUAAUACGUAGGUGGCAAGCGUUAUCCGGAUUUAUUGGGCGUAAAGGGAACGCAGGCGGCCUUUUAAGUCUGAUGUGAAAGCCUUCGGCUUAACCGGAGUAGUGCAUUGGAAACUGGGGUACUUGAGUGCAGAGGAGGAGAGUGGAAUUCCAUGUGUAGCGGUGAAAUGCGUAGAUAUAUGGAAGAACACCAGUGGCGAAAGCGGCUUUCUGGUCUGUAACUGACGCUGAGGUUCGAAAGCGUGGGUAGCAAACAGGAUUAGAUACCCUGGUAGUC